Molecule: long non-coding RNA, 641 nt
Organism: Astatotilapia calliptera (eastern happy)
Lineage: Eukaryota; Metazoa; Chordata; Actinopteri; Cichliformes; Cichlidae
Source: Ensembl
UUUGACUAGAGACCGGCCCACCAGGAUAAAGAUUGAAAAUGUGACGUCAUUCAGGGAUAAAACCGCAAAGGAUUCUGGGAACUUGUGGCAAGAGGUAAGCUGUGUGUGCGGAGUACAAUGGAGGGAGCAGAAAGAGUGAGAAGUAGAGGAGGCCGAGGAAGAGGACGUGGAGGUGAAGAAGUAGGAUGAAGAGGACGACAAGGACAAGGAGGAGCAAGAGGAAGACGAGGAGGGGGGAGAGGAAGAUGAGGAGGGGGGAGAGGAAGGGUAGGAAGAGUAAGAAAUAGAAUUGCUGAUGACAUCAGAGCUACAAUAGUGGACCAUGUCAUCAACCGUGGAAUGACCCUGAGGGUAGCUGGCCAACGGGUCCAGCCUAAACUGAGCCGCUACACUGUAGCAAGUACCAUAAGGACAUCUUGAAAUGAGAAUCGAAUUGCUAGAUGACCAGAUGCUGGGGGCAGAGGAAGCAUGUUCACUGCAGACCAAGUAACCCAUAUAGUCAUUAUGGCGAUUGCAAAUAAUCUUAUACUUGGAAAUAAACACUUGUGUUUGUUUUGAUGUGUUUGAAUAAACACCAGUACUUGAAGUUUGGAUCCCUCUAUGCUUAUGGAUCUAUGACAGAAGUAUGAGCUCAAACUGAC